GUUGCUGUAAAGUGUCCGAAACGUCGGUCACGUAAAAAACCUAAUAAACCGCGAUUAAAUCCGAAAGAGUUGUAUCAAUAUUACAAGAACACAAUACUG
Melitaea cinxia (Glanville fritillary) is the source of this 99-nucleotide long non-coding RNA. RefSeq lists it as uncharacterized. The record is from RefSeq and is a predicted model, not a curated record. The transcript is spliced from 4 exons. Lineage: Eukaryota; Metazoa; Arthropoda; Insecta; Lepidoptera; Nymphalidae.